RNAcentral lists this ribosomal RNA (253 nucleotides) under uncultured bacterium. RNAcentral describes it as "partial 16S ribosomal RNA". It matches the Rfam family "Bacterial small subunit ribosomal RNA", at positions 524 to 776 of the family's 1533-position model. The record is from RNAcentral.
UACGUAGGGUGCAAGCGUUGUCCGGAUUUAUUGGGCGUAAAGAGCGUGUAGGCGGUUAGGUAGGUCCGUUGUGAAAACUCGAGGCUCAACCUCGAGACGCCGAUGGAAACCAUCUAACUAGAGUCCGGAAGAGGAGAGUGGAAUUCCUGGUGUAGCGGUGAAAUGCGCAGAUAUCAGGAAGAACACCCGUGGCGAAGGCGGCUCGCUAGUACGGUACUGACGCUGAGACGCGAAAGCGUGGGGAGCGAACAGG